This 253-nucleotide ribosomal RNA is filed under the name uncultured bacterium. RNAcentral's name for it is "partial 16S ribosomal RNA". It matches the Rfam family "Bacterial small subunit ribosomal RNA", at positions 524 to 776 of the family's 1533-position model. The record is from RNAcentral.
UACGAAGGGUGCAAGCGUUACUCGGAAUUACUGGGCGUAAAGCGUGCGUAGGUGGUUUGUUAAGUCUGUUGUGAAAGCCCCGGGCUCAACCUGGGAAUGGCAAUGGAUACUGGCAGGCUAGAGUGCGGUAGAGGGUAGUGGAAUUCCCGGUGUAGCGGUGAAAUGCGUAGAGAUCGGGAGGAACACCAGUGGCGAAGGCAGCUCGCUGGGACGGUACUGACGCUGAGGCGCGAAAGCGUGGGGAGCAAACAGG